RNAcentral lists this unclassified non-coding RNA (684 nucleotides) under uncultured Prochlorococcus sp. RNAcentral describes it as "partial may contain 16S ribosomal RNA, 16S-23S ribosomal RNA intergenic spacer, and 23S ribosomal RNA". The stretch from base 301 to 373 matches the Rfam family "tRNA". Lineage: Bacteria; Bacillati; Cyanobacteriota; Cyanophyceae; Synechococcales; Prochlorococcaceae. The record is from RNAcentral.
UGUGGAGGAGGACGCCGAAGGUGGGGCUAAUGACUGGGGUGAAGUCGUAACAAGGUAGCCGUACCGGAAGGUGCGGCUGGAUCACCUCCUAACAGGGAGACAACAAAAUGUUUAAUAUUAUUUUGUCACCUUAGGUCGAUCGGUAUCUCACAUUUUUAAUUUAUUAAGAAUUUCAUUUCCUAAGUUUUUCUAGGUCACACCCAUCAUUUUUCCUGGGCCAUUAGCUCAGGUGGUUAGAGCGCACCCCUGAUAAGGGUGAGGUCCCUGGUUCAAGUCCAGGAUGGCCCAUAUCUCUAUGUUGGGGGUAUAGCUCAGUUGGUAGAGCGCCUGCUUUGCAAGCAGGAUGUCAGCGGUUCGAGUCCGCUUACCUCCACUGAUUACCACCUCUUCCAUAAUCGGUAGAAAGGAAAUAUUUUGAGUUGUGAUCAAAUUCUGAACGAAUCUAGCUUCCUAAUAGAUUUAUUAAGAUGCUGGACUCAUUGAAUUAAUUUCAUUGUUUUCAGAGAACCUUGACAACUGCAUAGAUUAUUUUUAAAGACAAUAAGCAUCUUUAUUGAUGCAGAUUUAUUAUUUUUGCCAAUGCAUUAAUAACAAUUCUAUUAAGCUGAUGCUUCAAUUUUUUGAAGUUAUUGGUCAAGCUACAAAGGGCUCACGGAGGAUACCUAGGCACACAGAGGCGAUGAG